UAGUAGCUUGGCCCCAUUGGCCGUCAG
RNAcentral lists this small RNA (27 nucleotides) under Bombyx mori (domestic silkworm). RNAcentral's name for it is "ovarian small RNA-22910". Lineage: Eukaryota; Metazoa; Arthropoda; Insecta; Lepidoptera; Bombycidae. The record is from RNAcentral.